GGGCAAUGAUGAUUGAUAUUUUUGGUCUCGUUCGUCGUAAUGGUAUCUUAAUGAUACCUUGACGACCAUUCUGAUAUAUCACCACCCAUAAACUGAGUUC
Molecule: small nucleolar RNA, 100 nt
Organism: Andrographis paniculata
Lineage: Eukaryota; Viridiplantae; Streptophyta; Magnoliopsida; Lamiales; Acanthaceae
Product: small nucleolar RNA Z43
Exons: 1
Source: RefSeq, a predicted model, not a curated record